CUUGCUUUCUUUGCUGACGAGCGGCGGACGGGUGAGUAAUGCCUAGGGAACUGCCCAGUCGAGGGGGAUAACAGUUGGAAACGACUGCUAAUACCGCAUACGCCCUACGGGGGAAAAGAGGGGACCUUCGGGCCUUCUGCGAUUGGAUGUACCUAGGUGGGAUUAGCUAGUAGGUGAGGUAAUGGCUCACCUAGGCGACGAUCCCUAGCUGUUCUGAGAGGAUGAUCAGCCACACUGGGACUGAGACACGGCCCAGACUCCUACGGGAGGCAGCAGUGGGGAAUAUUGCACAAUGGGCGCAAGCCUGAUGCAGCCAUGCCGCGUGUGUGAAGAAGGCCUUCGGGUUGUAAAGCACUUUCAGCGAGGAGGAAAGGUUAAGUGUUAAUAGCACUUAGCUGUGACGUUACUCGCAGAAGAAGCACCGGCUAAC
RNAcentral lists this ribosomal RNA (430 nucleotides) under Shewanella marisflavi. Its description in RNAcentral is "bacterial SSU rRNA". It matches the Rfam family "Bacterial small subunit ribosomal RNA", at positions 75 to 501 of the family's 1533-position model. The record is from RNAcentral. Lineage: Bacteria; Pseudomonadati; Pseudomonadota; Gammaproteobacteria; Alteromonadales; Shewanellaceae.